This 332-nucleotide unclassified non-coding RNA is filed under the name fungal sp. RNAcentral describes it as "partial internal transcribed spacer region". The stretch from base 1 to 46 matches the Rfam family "Eukaryotic small subunit ribosomal RNA", at positions 1786 to 1831 of the family's 1831-position model. Lineage: Eukaryota; Fungi. The record is from RNAcentral.
AAGUCGUAACAAGGUUUCCGUAGGUGAACCUGCGGAAGGAUCAUUAACACGUUUCAAACGUAUCAACAAACCGGUUAAAUGCAAACACAUUCCCUAAAGGGAGAGCUGUUCAGAGAACUCUAGUGAUGGGUGAAUCUUCGGAUUCACAGGGUUUUUUGGACUGGGGCUUCUAGCCCAAGGCUUUCUUCUUUAGGCUAACUCUUUUCUCCAUCGCUAAAACCCACGAAUUUCACCCUUCUAUCAACUUUUGACUAAAUCUUUCGAACGAAGAAAUUUGUUUGGAAUUGUAUAUGAACAUUGUACAACUCUUAGCAAUGGAUAUCUUGGUUCUC